RNAcentral lists this ribosomal RNA (574 nucleotides) under Colletotrichum sp. 71CA/L. RNAcentral describes it as "eukaryotic LSU rRNA". The stretch from base 201 to 354 matches the Rfam family "5.8S ribosomal RNA". Lineage: Eukaryota; Fungi; Ascomycota; Sordariomycetes; Glomerellales; Glomerellaceae. The record is from RNAcentral.
CGUAGGUGAACCUGCGGAGGGAUCAUUACUGAGUUUACGCUCUAUAACCCUUUGUGAACAUACCUAUAACUGUUGCUUCGGCGGGUAGGGUCUCCGUGACCCUCCCGGCCUCCCGCCCCCGGGCGGGUCGGCGCCCGCCGGAGGAUAACCAAACUCUGAUUUAACGACGUUUCUUCUGAGUGGUACAAGCAAAUAAUCAAAACUUUUAACAACGGAUCUCUUGGUUCUGGCAUCGAUGAAGAACGCAGCGAAAUGCGAUAAGUAAUGUGAAUUGCAGAAUUCAGUGAAUCAUCGAAUCUUUGAACGCACAUUGCGCCCGCCAGCAUUCUGGCGGGCAUGCCUGUUCGAGCGUCAUUUCAACCCUCAAGCUCUGCUUGGUGUUGGGGCCCUACAGCUGAUGUAGGCCCUCAAAGGUAGUGGCGGACCCUCCCGGAGCCUCCUUUGCGUAGUAACUUUACGUCUCGCACUGGGAUCCGGAGGGACUCUUGCCGUAAAACCCCCAAUUCUCCAAAGGUUGACCUCGGAUCAGGUAGGAAUACCCGCUGAACUUAAGCAUAUCAAUAAGCGGAGGAAA